Molecule: ribosomal RNA, 354 nt
Filed under: Glomus sp.
Lineage: Eukaryota; Fungi; Glomeromycota; Glomeromycetes; Glomerales; Glomeraceae
Description: SSU rRNA
Rfam family: Eukaryotic small subunit ribosomal RNA
Source: RNAcentral
UUGGAGGGCAAGUCUGGUGCCAGCAGCCGCGGUAAUUCCAGUUCCAAUAGCGUAUAUUAAAGUUGCUGCAGUUAAAAAGCUCGUAGUUGAAUUUCGGGACCAUCAUGUCGGUCGUGCCUAGGUACGUACUGGCAUUGUUGGUUUCUCCCUUCUGAUGAACCAUGAUGUCAUUUAUUUGGUGUUGUGGGGAAUCAGGACUGUUACUUUAGAAAAAUUGAGUGUUUAAAGCAGGCUCACGCUUGAAUACAUUAGCAUGGAAUAAUGAAAUAGGACGUUUGAUUCUAUUUUGUUGGUUUCUAGGAUCGACGUAAUGAUUAAUAGGGAUAGGUUGGGGGCAUUAGUAUUCAAUUGUCA